UCGAGAAUUUUUCACAAUGGGCGAAAGCCUGAUGGAGCGACGCCGCGUGGGGGAUGAAUGGCUUCGGCCCGUAAACCCCUGUCAUUCGCGAGCAAACGUUAUUAUUUAAAAGAUGAUAGCCUGAUAGUAGCGAAAGAGGAAGGGACGGCUAACUCUGUGCCAGCAGCCGCGGUAAUACAGAGGUCCCAAGCGGUGUUCGGAUUUACUGGGCGUAAAGGGUGCGUAGGUGGUGGGGUAAGUCGGAUGUGAAAUCUCCGAGCUCAACUCGGAAAGUGCAUUGGAAACUACCCUGCUCGAGGGUUGGAGGGGGUACUGGAAUACUUGGUUCAGCAGUGAAAUGCGUAGAUAUCAAGUGGAACACCAGUGGCGAAGGCGAGUCCCUGGACAACUCCUGACACUGAGGCACGAAAGCUAGGGGAGCAAACAG
RNAcentral lists this ribosomal RNA (427 nucleotides) under uncultured bacterium. RNAcentral describes it as "bacterial SSU rRNA". It matches the Rfam family "Bacterial small subunit ribosomal RNA", at positions 355 to 775 of the family's 1533-position model. The record is from RNAcentral.